AAAAUGAAACUAUUGUUUGCGAUGUUUUGAAACGAAAAACGGAAACGUUUUCGGAACGUUUAUUAAGAAAAACGUUACGUUUCCGAACUGAAUUAUCGACUUUUACUCCGUCGCUCGGUUGCGAAAACUUUCUUCACGAAAGUUGUAGAGCUCGUCGAUACGAGUUCGAGAGUAUGUGACGCGUUCGAAUCGGACGUCGGAGGUAAAAGUUAUUAACGUCGGAAGUUAGUUUCCGAUUUGGAAACUAGUAUAAAUAGAUAAUUAUGGAAUUAGGGUUUCCAUAAUCAGAAACCCUUUCUCUCUCUCUCUCUCAUCCCGCCGCUCUCCCUUUCUCUCUCCCUCCCUCGCGACUCUCUCUCCCCUAUCUCUCCUUCCAAGCCGGCGAUUUCCCUCCAAUCGCCUCCGUGCUCGACACCGCCGGUGUCACAGAGACCGCGUGACCACGACGCAGCGAUCGGUAGUAGCGGCGACGCACCCCGAGCGGGGAUCGAGCAACACCGACGAAGCUUGACCUCGGGAUCGUCGAGUUCGACGCGGCCGGCAUCGUAGGAGCUCGGCGCCACCACCACGACCUCGCCCUUUCCUCCGCGACACGAACCUACCCACGGGGGACUCACCUCGAGCAGCGGCGCCAUCGAUCACCCUUCCUCCGAAACCGAGUCUCACGGCGACUUUUGGAGCUUCAUCGAGGGAAUCCGACGGUCCAAAACGUCGAUAGAGGUGAUCGCUAAAUCGAGGAAAGGAAAUAUCAUCGGGAAUUGUGGAUUUACGCUCGAGUCGUUAAGGGGAUACUUCCGCAGGUGCUGAGUAGUAGUGAUUGAGUGACGACUCCGAAGACUCGAAGUCGAUCGCAUCCAGUCGUGGUGAGGUUCCAGCGUGGAUUUUGUGUGAGAUUUGGUGUGAUUUUAUUUGUGAGGUUAUUGUGAGGAUUAUACAAUUCCAUUUGUUAUAUGUUGAAUUAUCAUUUGGGUUUGUAAUAAUCGGCUUGACUGAGUUAUAUUUUAAACUCAGAUGUGAUCCGCUGCGACAUUAAAAUGAUUUCGAUUUCAUUGAGAUUAUUUUUGUGUUUAACGAUUUUAAGAUUUUGAGUGUUGAAGCUCGAAAUUUUAGGGUC
Long non-coding RNA from Argentina anserina (silverweed cinquefoil), 1114 nucleotides. RefSeq lists it as uncharacterized. NCBI's taxonomy places the organism in Eukaryota, Viridiplantae, Streptophyta, Magnoliopsida, Rosales, Rosaceae. The transcript is spliced from 3 exons. The record is from RefSeq and is a predicted model, not a curated record.